CAGCCGUAAACUAUGCUCGCUAGGUGUCAGGCAUGGCGCGACCGUGUCUGGUGCCGCAGGGAAGCCGUGAAGCGAGCCACCUGGGAAGUACGGCCACAAGGCUGAAACUUAAAGGAAUUGGCGGGGGAGCACAACAACGGGUGGAGCCUGCGGUUUAAUUGGACUCAACGCCGGACAACUCACCGGGGACGACAGCAAUAUGUAGGCCAGGCUGAAGACCUUGCCUGAAUCGCUGAGAGGAGGUGCAUGGCGUAGACGUCU
Molecule: ribosomal RNA, 261 nt
Filed under: uncultured archaeon
Lineage: Archaea
Description: partial 16S ribosomal RNA
Rfam family: Archaeal small subunit ribosomal RNA
Source: RNAcentral